Camelina sativa (false flax) is the source of this 575-nucleotide non-coding RNA. The record is from RefSeq and is a predicted model, not a curated record. Lineage: Eukaryota; Viridiplantae; Streptophyta; Magnoliopsida; Brassicales; Brassicaceae.
UAUAUGUAGCACCUUUGCAUACAUAAUUGAGAAAAAAAUUCAAUCAUCUUGCUAGGCUUUUGUUUGAGUUGAUUAUAUUUUUGUUUGGUUUAUUACAACUAUUUGUAACAGGAAAAGUUGUCCAAGCCGUCUGAUGAUUUAAUUACUAGCUCCAACCCUUGAAUUAUUUUGAUAAUCUCUCUAAUUAGCAGUAGAUGUAUAUAGGAUCUGGUGUGAUGGUUGUUGUGGUUGUUCAUUCAUAUAUAUACAGAUUGGCCUCAGAGUGUGACAUGAAGAAUAGUCUAGGCUUGAAAGCGUCCCUGCGAGCUUGUUCUGACUCUAAAUUUGAUGUACAGGAAUAGUUGUCCAAGCCUGAUGAUGUUACUGCUACCUCCACAUUUCACCUCGCUCCGAGCGAUUCCUCCACUACAAGCCCAAAGCUUUAAAAAAGAAGAAGCAAUCAAAGCCAAAUCCAUCCACCACCUACGUCUGCAUUUUUUCUGCUUUACUUUUGCGAGUAUUUAUAACUUAUAUUACCUUUGCGAGUCUUUAUUACUUAAAAAAGACCUUGUGUUAUCCCUAAUAAAGACUUUUAU